GAUGAACGCUAGCUACAGGCUUAACACAUGCAAGUCGAGGGGUAACAAGAGAAAAGCUUGCUUUUCUUGUUGACGACCGGCGCACGGGUGAGUAACGCGUAUCCAACCUGCCUAUAACUAGGGAAUAACCUUGCGAAAGUAAGACUAAUACCCUAUGAUUUCCUUUGAUGACAUCAGAUUAGGAAUAAAGAUUUAUCGGUUAUAGAUGGGGAUGCGUCUGAUUAGCUUGUUGGCGGGGUAACGGCCCACCAAGGCAACGAUCAGUAGGGGUUCUGAGAGCAAGGUCACCCACAUUGGAACUGAGACACGGUCCAAACUCCUACGGUAGGCAGUAGUGAGGAAUAUUGGUCAAUGGGCGGAAGCCUGAACCAGCCAAGUAGCGUGCAGGAUGACGGCCCUAUGGGUUGUAAACUGCUUUUAUACAGGAAUAAAGUUAGCCACGUGUGGUUAUUUGUAGGUACUGUAUGAAUAAGGACCGGCUAAUUCCGUGCCAGCCGCCGCCGUAA
RNAcentral lists this ribosomal RNA (506 nucleotides) under uncultured bacterium. RNAcentral describes it as "partial 16S ribosomal RNA". It matches the Rfam family "Bacterial small subunit ribosomal RNA", at positions 28 to 523 of the family's 1533-position model. The record is from RNAcentral.